RNAcentral lists this ribosomal RNA (468 nucleotides) under uncultured bacterium. Its description in RNAcentral is "partial 16S ribosomal RNA". It matches the Rfam family "Bacterial small subunit ribosomal RNA", at positions 28 to 507 of the family's 1533-position model. The record is from RNAcentral.
GACGAACGCUGGCGGCGUGCUUAACGCAUGCAAGUCGAACGGAAAGGCCCUGCUUUUGUGGGGUGCUCGAGUGGCGAACGGGUGAGUAACACGUGAGUAACCUGCCCUUGACUUUGGGAUAACUUCAGGAAACUGGGGCUAAUACCGGAUAGGAGCUCCUGCUGCAUGGUGGGGGUUGGAAAGUUUCGGCGGUUGGGGAUGGACUCGCGGCUUAUCAGCUUGUUGGUGGGGUAGUGGCUUACCAAGGCCUUGACGGGUAGCCGGCCUGAGAGGGUGACCGGCCACAUUGGGACUGAGAUACGGCCCAGACUCCUACGGGAGGCAGCAGUGGGGAAUAUUGCACAAUGGGCGGAAGCCUGAUGCAGCAACGCCGCGUGCGGGAUGACGGCCUUCGGGUUGUAAACCGCUUUCGCCUGUGACGAAGCGUGAGUGACGGUAAUGGGUAAAGAAGCACCGGCUAACUACGUG